UGCCAGCAGCCGCGGUAAUACGGAAGGGGUUAGCGUUGUUCGGAAUUACUGGGCGUAAAGCGCACGUAGGCGGAUUGGAAAGUAGGGGGUGAAAUCCCAGGGCUCAACCCUGGAACUGCCUCCUAAACUAUCAGUCUAGAAUCCGUAAGGGGAGUGUGGAAUUCCUAGUGUAGAGGUGAAAUUCGUAGAUAUUAGGAAGAACACCAGUGGCGAAGGCGGCACUCUGGUACGGUAUUGACGCUGAGGCGCGAAAGCGUGGGGAGCAAACAGGAUUAGAUA
This 279-nucleotide ribosomal RNA is filed under the name uncultured bacterium. Its description in RNAcentral is "partial 16S ribosomal RNA". It matches the Rfam family "Bacterial small subunit ribosomal RNA", at positions 506 to 784 of the family's 1533-position model. The record is from RNAcentral.